GGAGGAAUAUUGGGCAAUGGACGAAAGUCUGACCCAGCAACGCCGCGUGAAGGAUGAAGGCCUUCGGGUCGUAAACUUCUUUUAGGGGAGACGAGAAAGGACGGUAUCCCCAGAAUAAGCCACGGCUAACUACGUGCCAGCAGCCGCGGUAAAACGUAGGUGGCGAGCGUUAUCCGGAUUCAUUGGGCGUAAAGAGCUUGUCGGUGGUGCGAUAAGUUGGACGUGAAAACUCCGGGCGUAACUUGGAGAGGCCGUUCAAUACUGUUGUGCUAGAGGGCGUCAGAGGGAAGUGGAAUUCCUGGGGUAGCAGUGAAAUGCGUAGAUAUCAGGAGGAACACCCGUGGCGAAGGCGGCUUCCUGGGACGUACCUGACACUGAGAAGCGAAAGCUAGGGGAGCAAACG
This 403-nucleotide ribosomal RNA is filed under the name uncultured prokaryote. RNAcentral describes it as "bacterial SSU rRNA". It matches the Rfam family "Bacterial small subunit ribosomal RNA", at positions 355 to 774 of the family's 1533-position model. The record is from RNAcentral.